ACCUACGGGACGCAGCAGUAGGGAAUCUUCCACAAUGGACGAAAGUCUGAUGGAGCAACGCCGCGUGAGUGAAGAAGGGUUUCGGCUCGUAAAGCUCUGUUGGUAGUGAAGAAAGAUAGAGGUAGUAACUGGCCUUUAUUUGACGGUAAUUACUUAGAAAGUCACGGCUAACUACGUGCCAGCAGCCGCGGUAAUACGUAGGUGGCAAGCGUUGUCCGGAUUUAUUGGGCGUAAAGCGAGGGGAGGCGGGUCAAUAA
This 257-nucleotide ribosomal RNA is filed under the name uncultured bacterium. Its description in RNAcentral is "partial 16S ribosomal RNA". It matches the Rfam family "Bacterial small subunit ribosomal RNA", at positions 337 to 586 of the family's 1533-position model. The record is from RNAcentral.